This 743-nucleotide ribosomal RNA is filed under the name uncultured bacterium. Its description in RNAcentral is "bacterial SSU rRNA". It matches the Rfam family "Bacterial small subunit ribosomal RNA", at positions 94 to 823 of the family's 1533-position model. The record is from RNAcentral.
AGCGGCGGACGGGUGAGUAACACGUGGGUAACCUGCCCAAGAGACUGGGAUAACACCUGGAAACAGAUGCUAAUACCGGAUAACAACACUAGACGCAUGUCUAGAGUUUGAAAGAUGGUUCUGCUAUCACUCUUGGAUGGACCUGCGGUGCAUUAGCUAGUUGGUAAGGUAACGGCUUACCAAGGCAAUGAUGCAUAGCCGAGUUGAGAGACUGAUCGGCCACAUUGGGACUGAGACACGGCCCAAACUCCUACGGGAGGCAGCAGUAGGGAAUCUUCCACAAUGGACGGAAGUCUGAUGGAGCAACGCCGCGUGAGUGAAGAAGGGUUUCGGCUCGUAAAGCUCUAUUGGUAGUGAAGAAAGAUAGAGGUAGUAACUGGCCUUUAUUUGACGGUAAUUACUUAGAAAGUCACGGCUAACUACGUGCCAGCAGCCGCGGUAAUACGUAGGUGGCAAGCGUUGUCCGGAUUUAUUGGGCGUAAAGCGAGUGCAGGCGGUUCAAUAAGUCUGAUGUGAAAGCCUUCGGCUCAACCGGAGAAUUGCAUCAGAAACUGUUGAACUUGAGUGCAGAAGAGGAGAGUGGGACUCCAUGUGUAGCGGUGGAAUGCGUAGAUAUAUGGAAGAACACCAGUGGCGAAGGCGGCUCUCUGGUCUGCAACUGACGCUGAGGCUCGAAAGCAUGGGUAGCGAACAGGAUUAGAUACCCUGGUAGUCCAUGCCGUAAAACGAUGAGUGCUAAGUGU